Molecule: ribosomal RNA, 253 nt
Filed under: uncultured bacterium
Lineage: Bacteria
Description: partial 16S ribosomal RNA
Rfam family: Bacterial small subunit ribosomal RNA
Source: RNAcentral
UACGUAGGCAGCAAGCGUUGUUCGGAAUUACUGGGCGUAAAGAGCUCGUAGGCGGCCAGUUGCGUCCGCUGUGAAAUCCCGGGGCUUAACCCCGGGCGUGCAGUGGAUACGGGCUGGCUAGAGGCAGGCAGGGGAGAACGGAAUUCCCGGUGUAGCGGUGAAAUGCGCAGAUAUCAGGAGGAACACCGGUGGCGAAGGCGGGUCUCUGGGCCGAUAUUGACGCUGAGGAGCGAAAGCGUGGGGAGCAAACAGG